CAACCCUCAAGCUCUGCUUGGUAUUGGAUGUCACUCUAUUGGUGCAUCUUAAAAUCAGUGGCGGUGCCAUCUGGCUUCAAGCGUAGUAACAUUUCUCGCUUUGGAAGUUUAGGUGUGUGUGCUUGCCAACAACCCUCUAAAUUUAUCAAA
RNAcentral lists this unclassified non-coding RNA (150 nucleotides) under uncultured Helotiales. RNAcentral's name for it is "sequence contains ITS2". The record is from RNAcentral. Lineage: Eukaryota; Fungi; Ascomycota; Leotiomycetes; Helotiales.